GUGGGGCUGGGGCUCAGUGGUAGAGCGCUCGCCUAGCGCGUGCGAGGCCCUGGGUUCAAUACUUAGCACCACA
RNAcentral lists this transfer RNA (73 nucleotides) under Marmota monax (woodchuck). Its description in RNAcentral is "tRNA.Ala". The record is from RNAcentral. Lineage: Eukaryota; Metazoa; Chordata; Mammalia; Rodentia; Sciuridae.